This 367-nucleotide ribosomal RNA is filed under the name unidentified archaeon. RNAcentral describes it as "bacterial SSU rRNA". It matches the Rfam family "Archaeal small subunit ribosomal RNA", at positions 92 to 460 of the family's 1478-position model. The record is from RNAcentral.
AGUAACACGUAGUCAACCUAACUCGUGGACGUGGAUAACCUCGGGAAACUGAGAAUAAAACACGAUAGAUCAUUAUGCCUGGAACGGCUUAUGGCCGAAAUAGUUUACUGCCAUGGGAUGGGACUGCGGCCUAUCAGCUUGUUGGUGAGGUGGGGGCCCACCAAGGCUAUAACAGGUACGGGCUCUGAGAGGAGAAGCCCGGAGAUGGGUACUGAGACACGGACCCAGGCCCUAUGGGGCGCAGCAGGCGAGAAACCUUAGCAAUGUGCGAAAGCACGACUGGGUCAGUCCGAGUGAUUCCUGCUAAAGGAGUCUUUUGCUUGUCCUAAAAGCACAGGUGAAUAAGGGGUGGGCAAGUCUGGUGCCA